CAGCAAGAGAUAGUCCUGCCGGGGUAGAAGUCAGAGCGCCGUAGUUUGGACAGCAGAGGACAUGGAAACAGUACUUCUGAAGCCUAUCGACAGAGCUAUCGCCAAAUUUUGGUGACGGCCGAGCCGGUCAGGCGGCGGCGAUU
Molecule: non-coding RNA, 143 nt
Filed under: Bradyrhizobium yuanmingense
Lineage: Bacteria; Pseudomonadati; Pseudomonadota; Alphaproteobacteria; Hyphomicrobiales; Nitrobacteraceae
Source: RNAcentral